Molecule: microRNA, 20 nt
Filed under: Ciona intestinalis (vase tunicate)
Lineage: Eukaryota; Metazoa; Chordata; Ascidiacea; Phlebobranchia; Cionidae
Description: cin-miR-1502c-5p
Source: miRBase by way of RNAcentral
UGAACUUUACCAUGAAAAAG